CGUCUCUAAAAUGUUUCAAUAGAAAAAGUGGGGUUAUUAAUGGAAGACUAUUUAUCAGCUGGUUGUUAUACGGUUAAUUUCUAGUACUGGGCAUAAAAGAGAGCAUGUCGAGAUGCGGCGCGUGGUGCAACAUCGAAUAAUACGCAUAAUGCAUGCCAUCACUCGUUAGUAUUGUGUAUUCGCAAUUGAAGUAUCGUAUCUUCGUUCUUCGUCGCGUGUUAUAUGAUAUACGAUGAAAUAACAAUGUACAACAUCAAGAACAAAUAUAACUAAAGUUUGCAUGAUGGAGAACAUUCAUGAAAAAGCAUGGUUAAUUCGUUAAAACUACUCUGAUGGAACUUUGGAUGGAUGAAACUACUCUUGGAACCGCGCUGCCAAGUGCAUUUCCGUCGGAGCGCACGUGGAUAUAUCGACGAGGACAACGACGAUGGUCAGUUUGUAGACGGCCGUCGCAGAAUAAAAUCGGUAAGGAACCAGUUCGCCUUUCCUUUCCCUGCUUCCUCUUGCAAAUUUUAAUUAGUGCGCUCAAAGAUAUAAAUCAUUCGUUUCGUGUAUUACUAACAACUA
This is a long non-coding RNA of Bombus terrestris (buff-tailed bumblebee), 567 nucleotides long. RefSeq lists it as uncharacterized. The record is from RefSeq and is a predicted model, not a curated record. NCBI's taxonomy places the organism in Eukaryota, Metazoa, Arthropoda, Insecta, Hymenoptera, Apidae. The transcript is spliced from 2 exons.